GCGAACAGUACCGUGAGGGAAGAUGAAAAGAACUUUGAAAAGAGAGUCAAACAGUACGUGAAAUUGUUGAAAGGGAAACGAUUGAAGCCAGUCGUACCUACGGGUAAUCAACCUUUCGGGAGCGAUUCUGUGGGCUUUGAGGAGCUUAACGGCCUUCGUUGCUUCGCAUUCUGGCCCUUUGGUGGUGUUUUCCCCGUGGUGGGUUGUCAUCAUCUACUUUGAUCAUCAUAUGAUGAUCGGAAUAAUGCAUCUACAAUGUCUCAAGCUUUUUUUGAGCAUCGGAUUUGCGUUCUAAUUAAUACAUAUAGAGGCAUUUUAGAAUGAACAGUAAUUGUGCUUUAGACUGACCCUUAAAAACCUUGAUCUGAGUCGGUUCGGAAA
This 381-nucleotide ribosomal RNA is filed under the name uncultured Glomeromycotina. RNAcentral's name for it is "partial large subunit ribosomal RNA". It matches the Rfam family "Eukaryotic large subunit ribosomal RNA", at positions 340 to 664 of the family's 3401-position model. Lineage: Eukaryota; Fungi; Glomeromycota. The record is from RNAcentral.